RNAcentral lists this transfer RNA (73 nucleotides) under Methanobacteriota archaeon. Its description in RNAcentral is "Euryarchaeota archaeon tRNA-Thr". It matches the Rfam family "tRNA". From Rfam's summary of the family: Transfer RNA (tRNA) molecules are approximately 80 nucleotides in length. Their secondary structure includes four short double-helical elements and three loops (D, anti-codon, and T loops). The record is from RNAcentral. RNAcentral also lists the same sequence under 1 other name. Lineage: Archaea; Methanobacteriati; Methanobacteriota.
GCCACCGUAGCUCAGCUGGGAGAGCAGCUGACUUGUAAUCAGCAGGUCGGGAGUUCAAAUCUCCCCGGUGGCU